AGAGCAGGUCAGGCAACUGCGGGCACAAGGCCGCAAGGCAGUGUUCGAGGAAAGUCCGAACUCCACAGGGCAGGGUGCUGGGUAACGCCCAGCGGGGGCAACCCCAGGGACAGUGCCACAGAAAGAAACCGCCGCAGGUUCACCACCGCCACGGUGCGUGACCCACGGUAAGGGUGCAACGGUGGUGUAAGAGACCACCAGGGGCCGGGUGACCGGUCCGCUAGGUAAACCCCACCUGGAGCAAGACCAAAUAGGGGGAGGAUGAUAGGGCCCGUGGACUCCCCGGGUAAGGUCGCUUGAGGCCCCGGGCAACCGGGUGCCCAGAUGGAUGGUUGCCACCCCGGCUACCGGUAGCGGCCGGGUCCGGGGGUACAGAAUUCGGCUUACAGACCUGCUCACCGC
Molecule: RNase P RNA, 402 nt
Filed under: Bacillota bacterium
Lineage: Bacteria; Bacillati; Bacillota
Description: RNase P RNA component class A
Rfam family: Bacterial RNase P class A
About the family: Ribonuclease P (RNase P) is a ubiquitous endoribonuclease, found in archaea, bacteria and eukarya as well as chloroplasts and mitochondria.
Source: RNAcentral